Molecule: small RNA, 1643 nt
Filed under: Pongo abelii (Sumatran orangutan)
Lineage: Eukaryota; Metazoa; Chordata; Mammalia; Primates; Hominidae
Description: retained intron
Source: RNAcentral
CGUCUUUGUGAGCGCGCCCCGGCGGGGAGGAGCCGCCCGGCUCAGGCCCCACCCACCCGGAGGAUCUUGGGGCUGGUCUGGGUCCGCUCCUGAGACGUGACCACCCGCCCCGCCGGGGCCCCCAAUCCCAGUUGCUUGAUCCGGCUCAGCCCCGAGGUGUUUGCAGCAGCUCUUUCUGAAAGUCCAGCCAUCUGUUACCUGCGUUGCUUCCUGGGGAGGGAUAGUCCACCUGGAGGCAUUCGGAGACCCGGUGAUUGUGCUCCGUGGAGCCUGGGCUGUGCCCCGCGUUGACUGCCUCAUAGAUACCCUCCGAACCCCAAGUGAGAAAAAACGACGACCCUCUCUCCGUGAGUCUCACUGGGGUGCUGACCUAGAGUGAACCCUGCCUGCUUAGGGCUCCUGACCCAGAGCUUGUCCUUUCUCAGGGUGGACGGGGCGAGACCCCUGCUGGGAUAAAUGUUUUCCCUGGGGCAAGGGCUGUGCACUUCGCAGCUGCUGGGUCCCCUCCCUAGGAUCCAGGGAGACACUCACUACCCCUCUCCAUCCUGUUUUAGAUGCCAGCUGCAUGAGAAGAGGGACUCACCUUCUGGCCCCCUGCCUGGAAGAGGAAGAGCUGGCAUUGCACAGGAGACGGCUGGACAUGUCUGAGGCACUGCCCUGCCUGAGCAAGGAGACCCCCACCCCAGGCUGCAGGCUGGGGGCCCUGUAUUGGGCCUGUGUCCACAAUGAUCCCACCCAGCUCCAAGCCAUACUGGAUGGUGGGGUCUCCCCAGAGGAGGCCACCCAGGUGGACAGCAAUGGGAGGGCCUCAUGGUCGCAUGCUACCACGGCUUCCAGAGUGUUGUGGCCCUGCUCAGCCACUGUCCUUUCCUUGAUGUGAACCAGCAGGACAAAGGAGGGGACACGGCCCUCAUGUUGGCUGCCCAAGCAGGCCACGUGCCUCUGGUGAGUCUCCUGCUCAACUACUAUGUGGGCCUGGACCUGGAACGCCGGGACCAGCGGGGGCUCACAGCAUUAAUGAAGGCUGCCAUGCGGAACCGCUGUGAGUGCGUGGCCACCCUCCUCAUGGCAGGUGCUGACCUGACAGCAGUGGACCCUGUUCGGGGCAAGACGGCCCUGGAAUGGGCAGUGCUGACUGACAGCUUCGACACCGUGUGGAGGAUUCGGCAGCUGCUGAGGCGGCCCCAAGUGGAGCAGCUUAGCCAGCACUACCACCCCGAGUGGCCGGCCUUGUCCGGGCUCGUGGCCCAGGCCCAGGCCCAGGCCCAGGUUGCCCCUUCACUCCUAGAGCGGCUGCAGGCUACCUUGAGCCUCCCCUUUGCCCCAUCUCCUCAGGAGGGGGGUGUUCUGGACCACCUUGUGACUGCCACAACCAGCCUGGCCAGUCCCUUCGUCACCACUGCCUGCCACACUCUGUGCCCUGACCACCCACCUUCGCUGGGCACCCGAAGCAAGUCCGUGCCAGAGCUGUUAGUGCCAGCCGAAGCCCAGUCCUGCAGGACAUCAAAGUCUGGCCCUUCCUCUCUGGCGAUACCAGGAGCUCAGGAUAGAGAAGAGGAAACAGGAGGAGGAGGCCAGAAUGGCACAGAAGUAGGGGAAGAUGGGAUAGGACAGGCUGGGAACAGGUAGUCAGGCCCCUCCCA